This is a non-coding RNA of Paramuricea clavata, 2993 nucleotides long. NCBI's taxonomy places the organism in Eukaryota, Metazoa, Cnidaria, Anthozoa, Malacalcyonacea, Plexauridae. The record is from the annotation of a GenBank genome assembly.
UUGUGCAAAAAUACUAAAGUAUAUUAUUAUUACCUUGACAGGUUUAUCGAAUAAACGCUGCUGGUAUCGUAAAUACGUACGACUUGGAAUUUUAUGGUGGUGGAAUUUAUGCAUUACGUGCAGUGAAUGACUGCCUCAUUGCUGUUUCUUGGCGCAGGUUGCAGAUUUGGCUUGGAGUAGUAAAGUGGAGUUUGAACGAGGGCUUGAGGACUGAGAAGUUUAGUGUUUCGACAAGAUACAUCGUAAAAUGUGUUAACAAUGCUUUCAACCAUGUGGCCUUGAUGGGUAAAUGAUUAUAUAUUAUUUUUAUUUAUUUAACCUCCAUUGCAUAGGGUGUAGUCGCCAAAUUUCUCGAGAAUUAGCCCAAAGGUCGGCAAGGGAGGAAAACUGGAGUUUCCGGCGAAAAGCACAGCUAGCAUUGUUUAUCUCAUGCUCCCUAACCUGCCGUAUACGCAUUCAUUGCGCUGCAUGUAUAGAGGCGUAGAAACGAGGUUGUUAGAAGCACCGUAGAGCACAACCACAGGGAAAUGACCCAACCCACGAAAAUAUCAUAGGAAAAUACCCUGUAGAGGCAACACCCUAACCAUAUCUGUCACCCGCGGCCCCUUCGAAGCAAUUUUUGCUGCAACUUGCAACACAAUUUUGGACAUAUUGAGCAAUGUUAUCUAAAAAGGAGUUGCAGGGAAAUGUUGCGCAUGACGCACGGUUUACUCUGCCGAGAUAUAUUAUGUAAAGAAAGUGUCGAUAAAGUAGAUUGCGGGCCAUGUUCACAAUUUCUGUGACAAUUAUUUAGAUUACGCGGAUAUAAAUCCAAGAUUGCUUUGCAAGUUGCAGCAAAAAUUGUCUCGUGUAACAUUUCCUUUACAUAUAACAAAUAUAAAACAUUUUCUGUGUUGAUAUACAGUUUAUCAACGCGAGUGGAAAUUGGGAAAACGAGAAAUUGUGCCCGGAGGGCAGGGUGUUUUCCCACAAUUUCGAGUUUCCCCAGUUGUUGAUACAACUACAGUAAAUAUCAAUACAGGAAAAAGUUUUACAUUUCUUUACAAUAUAGUACAAAGAAAUAUAAAGUACAACAUUAAAAUAACUUUUUAUUGUUGAAAUAGCUCUAAUAACUCGUCUAAAUCGCUUGCUUCUAAAUUUGCAAACUUUCUGUGGGUUUUCUCCGUCGUCUCCAAUGCGAAAAGCUUAAAAAAAAUUGACCAUUUUAAAAACGUUUUACUGAAAUUUCAGCAGUACGCUUUUAUAUUUAAAGAGCGGCGGGAAAUUUUCUGUGUUGGCAUUGAGUUAUGUCAACACGGUUCUUAGCCAAUCAACAUUCAGAAUUUACAAAUGCUAUAUUAUAAAUAUUAUAAUUUUUAGAUGGGAAAUCCAUGCUGAUUUGGAAUUUGGAAAGUGGAACGGUACUCCAUAGAGUUCCUUUUCACGCAAACCCACAUUAUAUCCGAGCGUUGGCAUUGGUGUCAGGAGGUGAAUUUCUUUUGUCGGCCGCUUUCGAUGAAAAUUCGCUGAAAUUGUGGAAUCUACGCAAUGGACUGUUUAUUGAAGAGUUUCAUUUCGACCAGGAUGUUUGGGUUAUAGCAUGUGCCUCAAAUGGGAUGAUUUGUGUCGGCUUAAAAGGUGGUCGGGUCUGCUUUCUGCGUUUUAAUAAUUUAUCCUCUCAUUCAGGACUUCAACAAUGAGGUUCAAGACUUGGGAGGGAGGGGGGGGGGGCGUCAAAACAAAUACCGGAUGUAGGGAUGUGAUAAAAUCUGAAACUGUGGGUUUCGGCGUUGGCUGUGACGUUGAACAGAAAAUAAUUUACAUUGAAUGGCUGUCGAGAAAUAUUUCUUCAAACACUCAUUAAUAAUUUAUAAGCAUAUUGGCAAAUCAUGCCAAUCAUAAUAUGUCACGUGCAGCGGCUUUAAACCUGAUAAAACUCUCCUAAUUAGUAUUCUUUAUAUAAAGAAUACUAAUAAGGCAGUAUAUGUCUAUUGAAUUUGGAGUCGUGUUUGAAGCGAUUUAAUAAACUCGCAGGUAGUGUUUUAUUAGGUAUAAAGCUUUAAACCAAAUAAAACACUGUGUUCUGCUCGUUUAUUGAACAGUCCCACAGGAAAAGUUGACAGGGUCCGGUGGGUUAGGCAAAAAGGGCCCACAGCAAUAGACCUUUCCCCUUUUAUGUGAAAUUUUGAUCUAGACAAGUCUGGACAACAAUUUCAUUACAGCUUGAAAGAGCAUCACAAAAUUAGUAAUAUUCCGAAGUUUCGUUGCGAAAUGUUGUAAAAUGCGGAUAAUAUAGCCUUGCGAAGUUUGCCGUUUUUUAGUCAUUUUGUAUUAAUACAAACGGGAUAGUGAUAAUCAGUUUGAUCAUCUGAUAUUUCGCAUUUUACAACAUUUUGCAACGAAACUUUGGAAUAUUGCUAAUUUUGUGAUGCUCUUUCAAGCUGUGAUGAAAUUUUUGUCCAGGCUAGUCUAGAUCAAAAUUUCACUUAAAAGGGGGAACGGCCAUUAGCAUAUGCUGUUGUGGUAAGUUGGCAAAGCUAAUUUAAAAAAAAAAUACUUCAAGGUUUAUAAUCAAAGCGGCCGUCAUCGCUGAACCCCCACCAGGAACAAAGUUUCUCAACUUCCUCAACAGCUUACAAAAUGUUCUUUGCAUCAGUAACACAUAAACUUGCAUACCAAAGACAUCAGAAUUUAUCGGUAGAAAUAAUAAAAUCAAACGACAAUGAAGCGAUAUUCUUAUUAUCACACUUUGUGUAUCCUUGUUUUGCCGAAAGACAUCACGGAACGCCUUGAAACCAUGAAUGUCGACGAUUAACUAAUUUAAAUCUUCACACUAUUCCAUUUAGGUUUAUAUACUUAGUUUCUUGUGAAUAGCACGUUGUAGUUUCUAUGUAAAGCAUGAGCAAAGCCUGUACGUAUUAAAGUCAUGCCAUGCAAUAAAGAAAAUAAACACAAUACAAAUACAGAUUUGUUUUGGACUCUGCUGCAGCGCCCGAAAUAACGUUUAAUUUAAU